Molecule: non-coding RNA, 80 nt
Organism: Podarcis lilfordi (Lilford's wall lizard)
Lineage: Eukaryota; Metazoa; Chordata; Lepidosauria; Squamata; Lacertidae
Source: the annotation of a GenBank genome assembly
GUCAAGCUGGAUAGCUCAGUAGAUUAGAGCAUGGUGUUGAUAAUGCCAAGGUUUGCAGGUUCGAUUCUCCGUAAGCGACA